Molecule: long non-coding RNA, 2942 nt
Filed under: Triticum aestivum (bread wheat)
Lineage: Eukaryota; Viridiplantae; Streptophyta; Magnoliopsida; Poales; Poaceae
Description: long non-coding RNA (TAES_LNC028121)
Source: RNAcentral
AGUGAAUUCCCUCGGUAUGAUAAUUUGUUCAUCAGUUUGUUCCCCGUUUCUUCUCUAGCCUGAGCCUGACACACUAUUCUAGCUAGACAUGGGUGUGGCUCGUAACACCUGAUGACCAAACGGAUCUACGACACCAUCGAAUCUCAAACUUUAACUACCAAAACUAUUGUUUUUCAUCCUCUAGUCCCUUUUAGAAUUACUAAACGUCCUUUUUUGGGCCGAGAUUUCCAGGAACGCUUUCUCGGGGUUUGUGUGCAUGUAUUUCAAACCAUACAGACCUAAAAAUUAGAAGUCAUUCCAUCUUUAUUCCCGUAGAGCCUUCCAGCAGUUCCUAAACCGCUCCAGUCGGAGCAUGUUAUCAUUCUUGUUUGUUCUGAGUGAAUUCCCUCGGUAUGAUAAUUCUAUCAUCAGUUUGUUCCCCGUUUCUUCUCUAGCCUGAGCCUGGCAAACUAUUCUAGCUAGACAUGGGUGUGGCUCGUAACACCUGAUGACCAAACGGAUCUACGACACCAUCGAAUCUCAAACUUUAACUACCAAAACUAUUGUUUUUCAUUCUAUAGUCCCUUCUAGAAUUUCUAAACGUCCUUUUUUGGGCCGAGAUUUCCAGGAAUGCUUUCUCGGGGUUUGUGUGCAAGUAUUUCAAAUCAUACGGACCUAAAAAUUAGAAGUCAUUCCAUCUUUAUUCCCCUAGAGCCUUCCAGUAGUUCCUAAACCGCUCCAGUCGGAGCACGUUAUCAUUCUUGUUAGUUCAUAGUGAAUUCCCUCGGUAUGAUAAUUCUUUCAUCAGUUUGUUCCCCGUUUCUUCUCUAGCCUGAGCCUGGCACAGUAUUCUAGCUAGACAUGGGUGUGGUCGUAACACCUGAUGACUAAAUGGAUCGACGGCACCAUCGAAUCUCAAACUUUAACUGCCAAAACUAUUGUUUUUCAUCCUGUAAUCCCAUUUAGAAUUACUAAACGUCCUUUUUUGGGCCGAGAUUUAGAGGAACGCUUUGUUGGGGUUUGUGUGCAAGUAUUUCAAACCAUACGGACCUAAAAAUUAGAACUCAUUCCAUAUUUAUUCCCCUUGAGCCUUCCAGCAGUUCCUAAACCGCUCUAGUCGGAGCACGUUAUCAUUCUUGUUAGUUCUAAGAGAAUUCCCUCGGUAUGAUAAUUCUUUUAUCAGUUUGUUCCCCGUUUCUUCUCUAGACUGGGCCCGACACACUAUUCUAGCUAGACAUGGGUGUGGCUCGUAACACCUGAUGACCAAACGGAUCUACGGCACCAUCGAAUCUCAAACUUCAACUGCCAAAACUAUUGUUUUUCAUCCUGUAGUCCCUUUUAGAAUUACUAAACGUCCUUUUUUGGGCCGAGAUUUCCAGGAACGCUUUCUCGGGGUUUGUGUGCAAGUAUUUCAAACCAUACGGACCUAAAAAUUAGAAGUCAUUCCAUCUUUAUUCCCGUAGAGCCAUCCAGCAGUUCCUAAACCGCUCCAGUCGGAGCACGUUAUCAUUCUUGUUAGUUCUGAGUGAAUUCCCUCGGUAUGAUAAUUCUUUCAUCAGUUUGUUCCCCGUUUCUUCUCUAGCCUGAGCCUGACAAACUAUUAUAGCUAGACAUGGGUGUGGCUCGUAACACCUGAUGACCAAACGGAUCUAUGGCACCAUCGAAUCUCAAACUUUAACUGCCAAAACUAUUGUUUUUCAUCCUGUAGUCCCUUUUAGAAUUACUAAACGCCCUUCUUUGGGACGAGAUUUCCAGGAACGCUUUCUCGGGGUUUGUGUGAAAGUAAUUCAAACCAUACGGACCUAAAAAUUAGAAGUCAUUCCAUCUUUAUUCCCGUGGAGCCUUCCAGUAGUUCCUAAACCGCUCCAGUCGGAGCACGUUAUCAUUCUUGUUAGUUCUGAGUGAAUUCCCUCGGUAUGAUAAUUCUUUCAUCAGUUUGUUCCCUGUUUCUUCUCUAGCCUGAGCCUGGCACACUAUUCUAGCUAGACAUGGGUGUGGCUCGUAACACCUGAUGACUAAACUGAUCAAUGACACCAUCGAAUCUCAAACUUUAACUGCCAAAACUAUUGUUUUUCAUCCUGUAGUCCCAUUUAGAAUUACUAAACGUCCUUUUUUGGGCCGAGAUUUCCAGGAACGCUUACUCGGGGUUUGUGUGCAAGUAUUUCAAACCAUACUGACCUAAAAAUUAGAAGUCAAUCCAUCUUUAUUCCCCUAGAGCCUUCCAGCAGUUCCUAAACCGCUCCAGUCGGAGCACGUUAUCAUUCUUGUUAGUUCUGAGUGAAUUCCCUCGGUAUGAUAAUUCUUUCAUCAGUUUGUUCCUUGUUUCUUCUCUAGCCUGAACCUGACACACUAUUCUAGCUAGACAUGGGUGUGGCUCGUAACACCUGAUGACCAAACGGAUCUACGGCACCAUCGAAUCUCAAACUUUAACUGCCAAAACUAUUAUUUUUAAUCCUCUAGUCCCAUUUAGAAUUACUAAACGUCCUUUUUUGGGCCGAGAUUUAGAGGAACGCUUUCAUGCGGUUUGUGUGCAAGUAUUUCAAACCAUACGGACCUAAAAAUUAGAAGUCAUUCCAUCUUUAUUCCCCUAGAGCCUUCCAGCAGUUCCUAAACCGCUCCAGUCGGAGCAUGUUAUCAUUCUUGUUAGUUCUGAGUGAAUUCCCUCGGUAUGAUAAUUCUUUCAUCAGUUUGUGGCCCGUUUCUUCUCUAGCCUGAGCCUGACACACUAUUCUAGCUAGACGUGGGUGUGGCUCGUAACACCUGAUGACCAAACGGAUCUACGGCACCAUCGAAUCUCAAACUUUAAGUGCCAAAACUAUUAUUUUUAAUCCUGUAGUCCCAUUUAGAAUUACAAAAAUGUCCUUUUUUGGGCUGAGAUUUCCAGGAACGCUUUCGUGCGGUUUGUGUGCAAGUAUUUCAAACCAUACAGACCAAAAAAUUAGAAGUCAUUCCAUCUUUAUUCC